Molecule: ribosomal RNA, 685 nt
Filed under: uncultured Acidobacteriota bacterium
Lineage: Bacteria; Pseudomonadati; Acidobacteriota
Description: bacterial SSU rRNA
Rfam family: Bacterial small subunit ribosomal RNA
Source: RNAcentral
GGAAAUCGAAGCUAAUACCGCAUAAUCCCGAGAGGGGAAAGCAGCAAUGCGCUGAAAGAGUAGUCCGCGGCUGAUUAGCUAGUUGGUGAGGUAAUGGCUCACCAAGGCGAUGAUCGGUAGCCGGCCUGAGAGGGCUCACGGCCACAUUGGCACUGAAACACGGGCCAGACUCCUACGGGAGGCAGCAGUCGGGGAUAUUGCACAAUGGGGGAAACCCUGAUGCAGCGACGCCGCGUGAGUGAUGAAGCCCUUCGGGGUGUAAAGCUCUUUCGACGGGAACGAUAAUGACGGUACCCGGAGAAGAAGCUGCGGCUAACUACGUGCCAGCAGCCGCGGUAAUACGUAGGCAGCAAGCGUUGUUCGGAAUUACUGGGCGUAAAGCGAGUGUAGGUGGUGCUAUAAGUUUGGUGUGAAAUCUCCCGGCUCAACUGGGAGGGUGCGCCGAAGACUGUAGUGCUAGAGUAUGGGAGAGGUAGGCGGAAUUCCUGGUGUAGCGGUGAAAUGCGUAGAUAUCAGGAGGAACACCUGCGGUGUAGACGGCUUACUGGACCAUGACUGACACUGAAACUCGAAAGUGUGGGGAGCAAACAGGAUUAGAUACCCUGGUAGUCCACACCCUAAACGAUGCAUACUUGGUGUGAGCGAUUCAUUUCGUUCGUGCCGGAGCUAACGCGUUAAGUAUGCC